This 21-nucleotide small nuclear RNA is filed under the name Arabidopsis thaliana (thale cress). Its description in RNAcentral is "snRNA_02173". The record is from RNAcentral. Lineage: Eukaryota; Viridiplantae; Streptophyta; Magnoliopsida; Brassicales; Brassicaceae.
ACAGCAGGACGGUGGUCAUGG